Molecule: ribosomal RNA, 447 nt
Filed under: Clarias batrachus (walking catfish)
Lineage: Eukaryota; Metazoa; Chordata; Actinopteri; Siluriformes; Clariidae
Description: partial large subunit ribosomal RNA
Rfam family: Bacterial large subunit ribosomal RNA
Source: RNAcentral
GUAGCGCAAUCACUUGUCUUUUAAAUGAAGACCCGUAUGAAUGGUGGAACGAGGGCUUAACUGUCUCCCCCUUCGAGUCAAUGAAAUUGAUCUGCCCGUGCAGAAGCGGACAUAAAAAUACAAGACGAGAAGACCCUUUGGAGCUUAAGAUACAAGAUCAACUAUGUCAAGAACCAAAAAGUUAAACUAAAUAGCAACUGAUCCCUAUCUUCGGUUGGGGCGACCGCGGGAGAAAACAAAGCUCCCACGCGGACUGGGGCAACCCCUAGAACCAAGAAAGACAUUUCUAAGUCACAGAAUAUCUGACCAUUAAGAUCCGGCCACACGCCGACCAACGGACCAAGUUACCCUAGGGAUAACAGCGCAAUCCUCUUCCAGAGUCCAUAUCGACAAGAGGGUUUACGACCUCGAUGUUGGAUCAGGACAUCCUAAUGGUGCAGCCGCUAU